Molecule: transfer RNA, 84 nt
Filed under: Armatimonadota bacterium
Lineage: Bacteria; Bacillati; Armatimonadota
Description: Armatimonadetes bacterium (hot springs metagenome) tRNA-Leu
Rfam family: tRNA
About the family: Transfer RNA (tRNA) molecules are approximately 80 nucleotides in length.
Source: RNAcentral
GGGCGGUUGGCGGAACGGCAGACGCAGCGGACUUAAAAUCCGCCGGGGCAACCCAUGAGGGUUCGAAUCCCUCACCGCCCACCA